UACGUAGGGUGCAAGCGUUGUCCGGAUUUAUUGGGUUUAAAGGGUGCGUAGGUGACUUUUUAAGUCAUGGGUGGAAUCCCACAGCUCAACUGUGGAACUGCCUGUGAUACUGACUAGCUUGAGUGCGGUUGAGGCAGCUGGAAUUGGUGGUGUAGCGGUGAAAUGCAUAGAUACCACCAGGAACACCGAUUGCGAAGGCAGGUUGCUAAGCCGUAACUGACACUGAGGCACGAAAGAGUGGGGAUCAAGCAGG
RNAcentral lists this ribosomal RNA (253 nucleotides) under uncultured bacterium. RNAcentral's name for it is "partial 16S ribosomal RNA". It matches the Rfam family "Bacterial small subunit ribosomal RNA", at positions 524 to 776 of the family's 1533-position model. The record is from RNAcentral.